Gossypium hirsutum (cotton) is the source of this 145-nucleotide non-coding RNA. The record is from Rfam. Lineage: Eukaryota; Viridiplantae; Streptophyta; Magnoliopsida; Malvales; Malvaceae.
UUUUAAAAAUUUCAUUCAUUUCUAUUAUUAAAAACUAACAUUGCUUACAUAAUAAUCAAAUAGUGACACGCGGCAUGCCAUAUAUACCUCAUGUUGACAUAUAAAUACCAACUUUUGACAAUAAAAAUGGACGAAAUUUUUAACA